This 162-nucleotide ribosomal RNA is filed under the name uncultured bacterium. Its description in RNAcentral is "partial 16S ribosomal RNA". The record is from RNAcentral.
CGUCCUACGGGAGGCAGCAGUGGGGAAUCUUCACAAUGGACGCAAGCCUGAUCCAGCAACGCCGCGGAGCAAGAAGGCGUUCGGGUGUAAAGCUCUGUUUGAGGGAAGAACAAGUCGGGAUACCCGCCGGACUUGACGGUACACAGAAAAGCAAGCUACACG